GGGACACGUGGUAUCCUGUCUGAAUAUGGGGGGACCAUCCUCCAAGGCUAAAUACUCCUGACUGACCGAUAGUGAACCAGUACCGUGAGGGAAAGGCGAAAAGAACCCCGGCGAGGGGAGUGAAAAAGAACCUGAAACCGUGUACGUACAAGCAGUGGGAGCCUCUUUUAUGGGGUGACUGCGUACCUUUUGUAUAAUGGGUCAGCGACUUAUAUUCUGUAGCAAGGUUAACCGAAUAGGGGAGCCGAAGGGAAACCGAGUCUUAACUGGGCGUUAAGUUGCAGGGUAUAGACCCGAAACCCGGUGAUCUAGCCAUGGGCAGGUUGAAGGUUGGGUAACACUAACUGGAGGACCGAACCGACUAAUGUUGAAAAAUUAGCGGAUGACUUGUGGCUGGGGGUGAAAGGCCAAUCAAACCGGGAGAUAGCUGGUUCUCCCCGAAAGCUAUUUAGGUAGCGCCUCGUGAAUUCAUCUCCGGGGGUAGAGCACUGUUUCGGCAAGGGGGUCAUCCCGACUUACCAACCCGAUGCAAACUGCGAAUACCGGAGAAUGUUAUCACGGGAGACACACGGCGGGUGCUAACGUCCGUCGUGAAGAGGGAAACAACCCAGACCGCCAGCUAAGGUCCCAAAGUCAUGGUUAAGUGGGAAACGAUGUGGGAAGGCCCAGACAGCCAGGAUGUUGGCUUAGAAGCAGCCAUCAUUUAAAGAAAGCGUAAUAGCUCACUGGUCGAGUCGGCCUGCGCGGAAGAUGUAACGGGGCUAAACCAUGCACCGAAGCUGCGGCAGCGACACUAUGUGUUGUUGGGUAGGGGAGCGUUCUGUAAGCCUGUGAAGGUGUACUGUGAGGUAUGCUGGAGGUAUCAGAAGUGCGAAUGCUGACAUAAGUAACGAUAAAGCGGGUGAAAAGCCCGCUCGCCGGAAGACCAAGGGUUCCUGUCCAACGUUAAUCGGGGCAGGGUGAGUCGACCCCUAAGGCGAGGCCGAAAGGCGUAGUCGAUGGGAAACAGGUUAAUAUUCCUGUACUUGGUGUUACUGCGAAGGGGGGACGGAGAAGGCUAUGUUGGCCGGGCGACGGUUGUCCCGGUUUAAGCGUGUAGGCUGGUUUUCCAGGCAAAUCCGGAAAAUCAAGGCUGAGGCGUGAUGACGAGGCACUACGGUGCUGAAGCAACAAAUGCCCUGCUUCCAGGAAAAGCCUCUAAGCAUCAGGUAACAUUAAAUCGUACCCCAAACCGACACAGGUGGUCAGGUAGAGAAUACCAAGGCGCUUGAGAGAACUCGGGUGAAGGAACUAGGCAAAAUGGUGCCGUAACUUCGGGAGAAGGCACGCUGAUAUGUAGGUGAAGUCCCUCGCGGAUGGAGCUGAAAUCAGUCGAAGAUACCAGCUGGCUGCAACUGUUUAUUAAAAACACAGCACUGUGCAAACACGAAAGUGGACGUAUACGGUGUGACGCCUGCCCGGUGCCGGAAGGUUAAUUGAUGGGGUUAGCGCAAGCGAAGCUCUUGAUCGAAGCCCCGGUAAACGGCGGCCGUAACUAUAACGGUCCUAAGGUAGCGAAAUUCCUUGUCGGGUAAGUUCCGACCUGCACGAAUGGCGUAAUGAUGGCCAGGCUGUCUCCACCCGAGACUCAGUGAAAUUGAACUCGCUGUGAAGAUGCAGUGUACCCGCGGCAAGACGGAAAGACCCCGUGAACCUUUACUAUAGCUUGACACUGAACAUUGAGCCUUGAUGUGUAGGAUAGGUGGGAGGCUU
Molecule: ribosomal RNA, 1752 nt
Filed under: Escherichia coli
Lineage: Bacteria; Pseudomonadati; Pseudomonadota; Gammaproteobacteria; Enterobacterales; Enterobacteriaceae
Description: partial 23S ribosomal RNA
Rfam family: Bacterial large subunit ribosomal RNA
Source: RNAcentral